This 207-nucleotide long non-coding RNA is filed under the name Hordeum vulgare. Its description in RNAcentral is "long non-coding RNA (HVUL_LNC014468)". The record is from RNAcentral. Lineage: Eukaryota; Viridiplantae; Streptophyta; Magnoliopsida; Poales; Poaceae.
UUGGAGGAAAUUCGGGCAUUUUCAUUGAUAUUUGUACAAACUUAACUAAAAACAUAAUUUAAAAUGAAAAUAAAACAAAACUACUACUACUACGCUGCCUUGAACCUUCUACAUGCCGAGAAGCCUGUAGAAGUUGGUGUAGUCGCCACCGUCGUCGUCGUUGCCGUCAUCGUCCUGCACUCCCCUGUCGUCCUUGCCACACCCGUG